UAGCCGCAGAUGGGACGGAAGUAGCAAAAGACCGGGUUGCAAAAUGGGGAAGUCUGUACCCUCCACAGCGACCGAUACCCCCACCCCCGCCACCACCUCCCCAAGGGUCCAAGACCACCGCCGCCACCACGCAAUGGGUCAUAGUGACGUGUGGAAAGAGAGACAAACGUGAAGGUGCUCUGCUCUCUACCUCACUUCUUAACCACUUAAUUUGUGUUUAUGAUAUUUACGUAUUAAUCAUAUCCUUUCCUUUUUUAUUACGUAGCAUUAGCCGUAGAUGGGACGGAAGUAGCAAAAGACCGGGUUGCAAAAUGGGGAAGUCUGUACCCUCCACAGCGACCGAUACCCCCACCCCCGCCACCACCUCCCCAAGGGUCUGAGACCACCGCCGCCACCACGCAAUGGGGAAGCAUUUACCCUCUGAGACCGAUACCGCCACCACCUCCCCAAUUGUCCGAGACCACCUCUGCCACCACUAUCAAUUGACCACGGCCCCGCCCAAAACAAACCGUCCGAUAUUCGGGAAAUAAUUAAAACAAAAAAAAGAAGUAUGUGAUAAGAUUAAGAAAAAAGGGUAAUACAUAGAUAAAGUUUAAUAUAUAUAUAUAUAUAUAUAUGGAUAUUGUGGUAAAAUAUAUAUAUA
RNAcentral lists this long non-coding RNA (643 nucleotides) under Arabidopsis lyrata. RNAcentral describes it as "long non-coding RNA (ALYR_LNC002795)". Lineage: Eukaryota; Viridiplantae; Streptophyta; Magnoliopsida; Brassicales; Brassicaceae. The record is from RNAcentral.